Molecule: non-coding RNA, 1136 nt
Organism: Theobroma umbraticum
Lineage: Eukaryota; Viridiplantae; Streptophyta; Magnoliopsida; Malvales; Malvaceae
Source: RefSeq, a predicted model, not a curated record
ACGAAGCCCCCUUCGCUGCCGCAUCCCCUUCCUUGUCCUUUUUCCUGCACAAGCCAAGAGUGCCAAACAGAGAGCAGAGGCGACAAGAUGGAGGCAGCGUUGGCAGAGCUAGAGCGAGUCCAGACUCAAAUCCUCGAAAGAAUAUCGAAGCUAGAGCUCUCUCACCUGCCUCAAAACGCUGAACCUCUCGCUUCCUCAUCUCCUCUCACCAACGACGACGUCGAAGCUCGCCUCUCUAACAUUCUCCGAUCCAACGGCGUCAACGACUUCUUCUUCAAGAGAGUCUCCUCCGAUUACUAUGAUUGGUCGCUCAAGUCCCGUCGCGAAGUCCUCGGCGCCGCCUCUGUUCAUCAUCUCUGUAAAAGCAUCGUUUUGGUUAAUACUCAAGCACCAUCCAAUGUAAUCGAUUGUAGUGAUCGUAACAAUUCAAAGUAUUAUGUUGUUGUAGUCCAGUAUACUGCUAGAUUCAAUGCUGAAACUGUAAAAAAUUUUCUAUACACACUCAACAACGGCAAGAUAUCAAAGAAGAAAUUUAACUUGAGGCUUGCUCCUGAGGAGACAUCAAUAAAGUUGACUGGCUAUGAGCACAAUGCAGUUACUUGCAUUGGCAUGCAAACUGACAUUCCAGUAAUUUUGGAUGAAGCUAUUGUAAAACUUAGUCCUGAUUUCUUCUGGUUGGGUGGAGGAGAGGUUGAUUUAAAGCUUGGAAUCAGAACCUCUGAAUUUAUCAGCUUUGUCAAACCUUUCAUUGUGAACUGCAGUGGUACCUGAGUAUACCAAAUGAAUCCAUUAAUUAAAUUGGAAGGACGUUAUGACUAAAGACAAUUUAGUAAAGAGUUCAAGGAAUGCCAUUCCUAUGGAAACCCCAUCUGUUGGAGAAAUUGAUGCUUCAGAUUUGGAGACUAAAUUUCGGCAUUUUUUCUUUCUUUUGGUUUCUUUGGGCUAUUCAAAUUUGGAAGCCAAUCAGGCAAUAUUUGAUGAUGUAGCUAGAUUGUUUUCUACGAGGUCAAUUUACUUGGCAAUGCUGGCGCAUGAUUUACAGAGGGCCACGUGUUGCAUAACUCUUGGCUACUGAAUGCGUAGCAGGCAGUAUAAUCUCUGGCCCGUUGUUGGCUAUACGAGGAAGACAGAACAGC